GAUGAACGCUGGCGGCGUGCCUAAUACAUGCAAGUCGAGCGAACGGGCGAGAAGCUUGCUUCUCUGAUGUUAGCGGCGGACGGGUGAGUAACACGUGGAUAACCUACCUAUAAGACUGGGAUAACUUCGGGAAACCGGAGCUAAUACCGGAUGAUAUUUUGAACCGCAUGGGUCAAAAGUGAAAGACGGUCUUGCUGUCACUUAUAGAUGGAUCCGCGCUGCAUUAGCUAGUUGGUAAGGUAACGGCUUACCAAGGCAACGAUGCAUAGCCGACCUGAGAGGGUGAUCGGCCACACUGGAACUGAGACACGGUCAAGACUCCUACGGGAGGCAGCAGUAGGGAAUCUUCCGCAAUGGGCGAAAGCCUGACGGAGCAACGCCGCGUGAGUGAUGAAGGUCUUCGGAUCGUAAAACUCUGUUAUUAGGGAAGAACAUAUGUGUAAGUAACUGUGCACAUCUUGACGGUACCUAAUCAGAAAGCCACGGCUAACUACGUG
Molecule: ribosomal RNA, 497 nt
Filed under: uncultured bacterium
Lineage: Bacteria
Description: partial 16S ribosomal RNA
Rfam family: Bacterial small subunit ribosomal RNA
Source: RNAcentral